RNAcentral lists this long non-coding RNA (524 nucleotides) under Monodelphis domestica (gray short-tailed opossum). RNAcentral's name for it is "lncRNA (ENSMODG00000051386.1)". Lineage: Eukaryota; Metazoa; Chordata; Mammalia; Didelphimorphia; Didelphidae. The record is from RNAcentral.
UCCUUCACCUUUCCCCUUCUUCCUCCUGCCUAUCUUUAUGUUGCUGAGUCACUGGCCCUUGCCCUUCUCUUUGUGAUUCUGCUCAGGGCCCCGGGUUUCCCAAUAGCAUCAGAAAUACUUGGCACCCACAGGGGAUGAUAGCAAACAGUUCCCGCCCCCUUCUAGCCCAACGAGGGCAGGGACUGGAAACACAAUGUCAAUUUUUGCUCACUUGUUUUCUGGGAAAGUUAAGGAUUCACGAAAGCAGGGCCUGAGCCGUGGGUGCCCUUUGGUUUCUCCCACUGCCGGAUGAGUGUCCUGGACUAGACAUAUUAAAUGCCAGUUUUUAAAAACUCAUGGGUCCCAGCUGUGUGACCUUGGGCAAGUCACUUGAACCCCACUGUCUAGCCCUGACCACUCUUCUGCCUUGGAACCAACACACAGCAUUGACUCCAAGACGAAAGGGAAAGAGAAUAUACAAAUCUAGCAAGAAAAUAAAGCCUGGAAUCAUGGGAAGGGGGGAAAAGUUGCCCUCUGGAACCUGA